UCUGUUGGUUUCUUAAUUCAACAUCGAGGUCGCAAGCUCUCCUUUCAAUAAGAGCUUUUAGGAGAAUUAUGCUGUUACCCCCAAAGUAAUUUAUUCCUGUCCUCCGUUAAAGGGUCGUGUUGUUCGGCCCCACGUUUUUAUUAAUCUAGAUGUUUUUUUUCAUUAAAUCCGCCGUCCCAGCUAAACUCAUUGGGGGUUUGCACGUCUUGUGGUUUUACAUAGUUAAAUUUUAUGGGGUCUUAUCGUCCCUGAGUCCAACCUAAGGGUUUUUACUUAGUGCCUAAUUUCACAUUAUUAUAAGAACAGUUGCCCUCCAUUCAACCUUUUAUACAAGCUCCUAAUUAGAGAGCAAACUACUAUGCUACCUUAGUAUAGUCAGAGUACUAUAGCCCUUUAUUGGUUCAGUGGGCAGGCUAGACCUGAGGUAGUGUUCACCAGGACAUGUUU
This 447-nucleotide ribosomal RNA is filed under the name Campylaspis costata. RNAcentral's name for it is "partial large subunit ribosomal RNA". Lineage: Eukaryota; Metazoa; Arthropoda; Malacostraca; Cumacea; Nannastacidae. The record is from RNAcentral.